RNAcentral lists this ribosomal RNA (379 nucleotides) under uncultured beta proteobacterium. RNAcentral's name for it is "bacterial SSU rRNA". It matches the Rfam family "Bacterial small subunit ribosomal RNA", at positions 823 to 1208 of the family's 1533-position model. Lineage: Bacteria; Pseudomonadati; Pseudomonadota; Betaproteobacteria. The record is from RNAcentral.
UUGGAGAAGCGAUUUUCCUGUACCGAAGCUAACGCGUGAAGUGAUCCGCCUGGGGAGUACGGUCGCAAGAUUAAAACUCAAAGGAAUUGACGGGGACCCGCACAAGCGGUGGAUGAUGUGGAUUAAUUCGAUGCAACGCGAACAACCUUACCUACCCUUGACAUGUCCGGAAGCCUGCUGAAAGGCGGGUGUGCCCGAAAGGGAACUGGAACACAGGUGCUGCAUGGCUGUCGUCAGCUCGUGUCGUGAGAUGUUGGGUUAAGUCCCGCAACGAGCGCAACCCUUGUCCUUAGUUGCUACGCAAGGGCACUCUAAGGAGACUGCCGGUGACAAACCGGAGGAAGGUGGGGAUGACGUCAAGUCCUCAGGCCCUUACGCG